Arachis ipaensis is the source of this 1611-nucleotide non-coding RNA. The record is from RefSeq and is a predicted model, not a curated record. NCBI's taxonomy places the organism in Eukaryota, Viridiplantae, Streptophyta, Magnoliopsida, Fabales, Fabaceae.
UAAUCAGUUUCCACCUUCCAGAGAUCACCCACGGCCCCAAGCUCCAGAAGGCAGAAACCACCCAAGCACAGUUCACCACCCAGUCACACACAGCCAUCAGCCUCUUCGCAGUCGCAUACCCACCAGCCCACCACCACCAAACGAGCAGCCACAGCAGCGACGAUGUUGACCACCGCAACCACCACCGUCGUUGCCGAGCUCGCCUCCUCCUUGGUCGUCGCCGAGCUCGCCUACUCGUUGGUCGUCGCCGACACCGCGUCCUCGCCGUUACUCGCCUCCUCCUAAUCUACUAAUCCGGGAAGCCUGCCCCCAAGCCUAGCCUCCACCACCGCCUUGUGCCUCUAUUGCCGCUGCGCCAUUCGUCGCACCGACCCCUGUUCGCUCUCAGACUCACCAGUCGCAGGCACGCUGUUUCUUCCUCGAGCGUCCGUCGUCUUCCUCUUCCCCUGGAGCUGCUGCAUGCCUGCAUACAAAGGAUUUCUUGAUUCUUGAAGGUCAUGAGGAAGCUCAAGAAGAGUUGCCUAAGAAAGCAAAAAUCUUCUUUAGUACUGCAGUUCAGAACUGGGAUGCUGACUUUUAUGUGAAAGUUGAUGACAGUAUUGACAUUGAUCUGGAGGGAUUAAUUGACCUUCUUAACCGCCGCCGCGGUCAGGAUGGGGCAUAUAUUGGAUGCAUGAAAUCUGGAGAAGUGAUAUCAGAAGAGGGCAAGGCAUGGUAUGAGCCUGAAUGGUGGAAAUUUGGGGAUGAAAAGUCGUAAGUGAUAUAACUUUCUAUGGAAGUUUUUGUUUAUUAAAGGAGAGAUUUAAGUAGCAAUGGUUACCUUACUGCAAUUACCUUGUCAUACCUUGUCAUUUAUGUGCGUUUUGAAUAUUGUCAUUUGAAGUUGUUUAUGACCUUUUAAUGAUAAAUUAUGUAUUGUAGAUUUUGUGAAAUUGUUAAAUUUUGAAUUUUAUUAAUUUCAAAAUUAUUGAAUUUAACUUUUUAAAAUUAUGUAUUCAAUUUUUUAUAAUUUCACUCUAUAUAUUAAACCGGUUCAACCACGGUUCAACCACGGUUGAACCAUUGAACCAUUGAACCAGUUACUUGACCGGUUUGAUGACCGGUCCGGUUCUCGCAACCUUGCUUCCACGCAUCUCAUUAUAUUUUACGGGUUGCUACCAAUGUUCUGAAAAUCGGACCGGACCGGCUGGUUGAACCGGUUAAACCGGGAACCGGUGAGAGAAACGGUCCGGUCCUCCUCCUAAAACUGCCAAUUUCAAAACUGUUGGAAAACCGGAAACCGGCAGAAAACCGGUCGGUUGGGCCGGACCGGAAACCGGCCGGUUCUUAAAAAAACAAACCCACGCCGUGUCACUUACCCCCCUCCCCCAAACGCCUUCGCGAAUCAAAUGCCCUCAGUCCCUCACCACUCACCAACCCUAGCUUCUUCAAGAAUUCAGAACCCAAACCAAAAACCUAGCCUCUUCAACGGAUUCGACGCCGCCGCUCGUCGUUGUAGGCGCCUCCGCGGCCUCCUCCUCCCCCCUGUUCCAAACCAAAUCCCUAGCUCGGCACGUCGUCGUCGCGUCGUCUUCUAGCUUCGCUGUUCAAGGCUUCGAGUUCGAGAUGCUU